This 301-nucleotide ribosomal RNA is filed under the name uncultured bacterium. Its description in RNAcentral is "partial 16S ribosomal RNA". It matches the Rfam family "Bacterial small subunit ribosomal RNA", at positions 509 to 809 of the family's 1533-position model. The record is from RNAcentral.
CAGUAGCCACGGGAAUACAGAGGGUGCAAGCGUUAAUCGGAAUUACUGGGCGUAAAGCGCGCGUAGGUGGUUUGUUAAGUUGGAUGUGAAAGCCCCGGGCUCAACCUGGGAACUGCUUCUGAGACUGAACGACUAGAGUACGGUAGAGGGUGGUGGAAUUUCCGGUGUAGCGGUGAAAUGCGUAGAUAUCGGAAGGAACAUCAAUGGCGAAGGCAGCCACCUGGGCCUGUACUGACACUGAGACACGAAAGCGUGGGGAUCAAACAGGAUUAGAUACCCCGGUAGUCCCUGUCUCUUAUAU